GAUGAACGCUAGCGGCAGGCCUAACACAUGCAAGUCGAGGGGUAGAGGUUGCUUGCAACCUUGAGACCGGCGCACGGGUGCGUAACGCGUAUGCAAUCUGCCUUGUACUGAGGGAUAGCCCAGAGAAAUUUGGAUUAAUAACUCAUAGUAUCGUUUCCCGGCAUCGGGAGAUUAUUAAAGUUCCAAGGGUACAAGAUGAGCAUGCGUCCCAUUAGCUGGUUGGUAUGGUAACGGCAUACCAAGGCAAUGAUGGGUAGGGGUCCUGAGAGGGAGAUCCCCCACGCUGGUACUGAGACACGGACCAGACUCCUACGGGAGGCAGCAGUGAGGAAUAUUGGUCAAUGGGCGCAAGCCUGAACCAGCCAUGCCGCGUGCAGGAUGAAGCAUCUAUGGUGUGUAAACUGCUUUUAUACGGGAAGAAACACCGGCUCGUGAACCGGCUUGACGGUACCGUAAGAAUAAGGAUCGGCUAACUCCGUGCCAGCCGCCGCUGUAA
This 496-nucleotide ribosomal RNA is filed under the name uncultured bacterium. RNAcentral describes it as "partial 16S ribosomal RNA". It matches the Rfam family "Bacterial small subunit ribosomal RNA", at positions 28 to 523 of the family's 1533-position model. The record is from RNAcentral.